UUUGCAGGUUCUUUGUGUUAAAACAAUCCAAAUAAAUGACACAGAAAAGAUUAGCAUGGCCCCGUCACAAGGAUGAAACACAAAUUCGUGAAGCAUUCCAUAUUAAA
Small nuclear RNA from Nomascus leucogenys (northern white-cheeked gibbon), 107 nucleotides. The record is from Ensembl. NCBI's taxonomy places the organism in Eukaryota, Metazoa, Chordata, Mammalia, Primates, Hylobatidae.